UGCCUAAAAUAUUUUUUAUGUUACCUCCUCUCCAUGGAAUGGUGCAUUUUUUUAUGCCAAUACAUUUUAAAAGACCAGGUCUUUUAAAAUGUAUUGGCAUAAAAAAAUGCACCAUUCCAUGGAGAGGAGGUAACAUAAAAAAAU
Pelobates cultripes (western spadefoot toad) is the source of this 144-nucleotide non-coding RNA. Lineage: Eukaryota; Metazoa; Chordata; Amphibia; Anura; Pelobatidae. The record is from the annotation of a GenBank genome assembly.